UCUAACAGAACCUUGCUUCGGAGGUUGCUUACAUAUCCUUGGCUAUGAAGUAAUUAGGUCAGUAUAGUUCUGGAUGUUUUGGUAACUAGGAUUUCACUGAUGUUGCUGUUGUAACUGCUUGCUGACUCCUUACUACACCAAAAUCAAAAUGAAAUACUAAACUAGCUAAACCAACCAGCUACAGGUUACAAGACUCCUAUCUAUAAAUCUCCUGAAGCUUUAUUUUGAGUCUUGGAUGGUUCUUCAUGCAGACUCUGAUUUGAAUCUUGAUACUUGUUAGAUGCAAGUGUAGGUUCAUUCUCCUUUAGCUUUCGGAUCAAGGGAAAACAUGCAAAGCUUGUGACAUCAUUCGUAUCUUGAGUAGUCCACAUCUUUCCUCCGCUUAUGCACUUUGAGUUCACUACUUUUUUAUUUAUUCAUUUUAUUUUCUUUUAGAUUUAAUCUUCUUCUUUUGGUCAUCUCGAACCCUGUGUCUUGAGGUACAACUUUCUCAGACACCAAAAUAAACAAACGAAUGGAAUUUUUCUAUCCCACUUAUCACUAGGAAAAUUUCACGAGUUAUUUGUAACCAAAACCCUAUACUACUUCAAUAUUGAAAGAAAUGAUUGUGUAUCCUUGGGAAAAAGAAAGUAGGGAGUGGAAACCCUAUAUCUAAAAUUAAAUUGACUAGGGAUUGUAUUGCGGUUCUCUCGCGAAAUUGGGUUUAUGACAUUUUGGAUGGGAAAGCUCUUUCCUUUUGGGAAGGUAUUGAAAUUUUGGAGAGUCUCCAUCUAACAAUUUAAAGGUGUGUUAGGCACCUAUGGGGUUCCACUACAACUAUGUUUGGUAACUGGAGAUAGGAUAAGGGCUUGAAAUUACCCCAAAGGGAAUGUGUUUGGCACCCCUCAGGAUCCACUAGUGUGGUUCCCGGCCAGAUAGUUUUUUUUUGUGAAUUUGUGCAAUUAUCAAACAAACAAAUAAGGAUCAAAUAGUAGGGGAUUUUAUAUUUAAAUAUACAAGUGUUUGAAAAAACAAUAAAGGCUAGGUUUUGAAAAGAGUUAUAAUCUAAACAUGUUAGUGAAUGUAAAAAGGGUCCUAGGUUUGUUUGUAAUAUGGAUCACAUCAAUGCAAUACCGGUAUGACACUCUUCAGAAGAGGGGAUACACGUGGUAUUAGUGCACCAGUCAUCAUAUCCAUAUCGGCCCUUCCCACCCGUAAAGGUAGUAAAGCGAGGAUUAGUCUCAACCUCUAUUGCAUGCUGUUUAUUAUCCCAUUUCUAUCACUCUUAGAGGAAUUUAGGACUACUAUUGCUAUAAGAGGGAGGUUUUAGGCUGACUCUUAGGUUUAAAGGUAAAAUGCUAAGGAGACGUAUAAAAACAAGUAGGACUGUAUUUAGAAGGGAAACAUGUAAGCAAUUCGAAAGCUCAUGUAUACCGCCGCAAAUAAUGCAUAUAAACAGCAUGACUUAAACACAGUUAAGGUCUGAAUUUUAAAAAUCCUAAAGCAAGGUGUUUGAGUCAGAACAAGAUUCAUUAUAUAACUUAGAAAAAAAGUCCGGAUCAGGCCUAUCUACUGGUUGUACCAGUUGAUAAUUUCAAUAAAGGCAGUUCAAGUUUCAUUAAUUACCAAAGGCUUUGCCUAGGCGUGAGCGAGAUUCAGUAGUUAUUCAGGAUUAUUAAGACAGUUGGAGAUUAUUAUUAUUACUAAACAUGCGUCUCUAGGUGUUCCGCACAUUGAGUUAUUGCUAGUUAAUCGUAAGGACUGAAAUACAUCGUUUUAUUCCUUUUAAGCGUUCAUAAUUAGCCUAAGUGUGCUUAAGAGAAUACAAAUGAAAUCCUAAAGACAUGUUAACUAAUAUGCAGAGAUGCAGAAGAAUGUAUAUGCAGAAUCCUAAAAAGGAUUUCUAUAUGCACAAAUAUUACAACAUUUAGAACAUGAUUACUAGAAUAUGCAGAGAUUAUAUGUUUGUUAAUGUUGUUAGCCUAAAUAGGAUCUCUAAGUCUGCAUGGUGGUAGGAACAUGAUUGCAGAAACACUGAUUAUUAACAUACUUAACAAAGAAUUAUCUAAGCGAUUUGAUAGUGACAUGAACAUGCUGAAAAUAGUAAGUGUAAAUUCUAAGGAACAUGAUCUCUAAUGCAUGAAAUGAAUCUUAAGCAUGGUUUCUAUUGUGCAAGUAGUAAUAUAAACCUAAUAACAUGCUUUCUACCCGUUUUGAUAGCAUGCAUAUUUCCCAGCCCUUGUCACUAGCCAAUCUCAUACUUGUUUACAAAUUAUUAUAGACCAAAUGAUUGAAGUACGAAAGAAGUGCAAAAAUAAGAAGUUAUAACCAUAGGAAGCAUGAUCCUGAAUUCCUCUAUGAGUUUGUAAUUAAUCACUUCAAUGCCAAUAUUAUUCCAAAGCCUUCUCAUAUCUGGGUGUGUCUGAAUUCCCGAAGGACCUCAAGGUGUCCUGGAUAGUGCUUACACCCAGAUUUGCAUAACCAAACAGAAUGAGUGUAGUGUGGAAGGGCCAACUUUUAUGUGUCCAAGUUCAAAGAGAGCUCAAGGGUCCCAAGGCAAGGCUCAUACAAAAGGGGCAGAAUCUAGAUUCUAAGAAUAAGUGAGAGUGCUUGACAUAGUUUGAAAAAAAAAGUUUGUUUAAAAAUUGGGUUGAAAGUAAUAAGUAAUAGAGGUGAUUUGAAAGCAGUUGUAGUAGUAAACAAAACUCAAACUCCCAAGAUGGGAUCGCACACAAAAUCAAUAGUCAUACAAGGGGUUCAAGGGAUUUGGGACACACGAACAUUUGACUGUAAGCACAUAACCUUAUCAAGGGUCUUUAGGACUAGUUGGAUAUGCACAAUAAUAGCUGAUACUAGCAUGAUCACAUGAUAGUCAGAAAACGUAAGCAUAUUGAAGCGAUAGGGGUCUGGGGGUGGAAAAUACAUAAUAAGUGACUGAUAGAGUAUGUAUUGAAACACACAUAGGGGAAUGAAUUAAUCUAGAGGGGAAGGGGAAUAUCAUGGCAUGCCGGUAAUGCAUCUUAACAGAACCAAAAGCCGAAGUAAAAUAAAAAUGAAAGAAGCUGAAACAAAUAAGGAAGCAUAUUGUUGUUUGGGCUCAAAAGAUAAACUAGGAUAUACUAGUCAAAGAAGCAAAGUGUAGAAAGGAAAAGUAAGCAGGACUCCACACUCUAGUCUUGACUUUCAGCUUACUAGACAAAGCAGUAUCACGAGUAGUAGUAGAGAAAGGGAAAGUUUUGAGUGUGAAAGUGUGUGUUCUCAAUUGAUUUAUUUGUGUCUUUUAAAGAAGAGAGUUUAGGAUAUUUAUAACUUUAAAAAUGGGUAGAAAAUAAGGUAACAAGUAAAAGUAUAACACAAUUAUGGAAAUAAUCACAAUCAGAAUCCAUUAACAUAAU
Molecule: long non-coding RNA, 3374 nt
Filed under: Nicotiana benthamiana
Lineage: Eukaryota; Viridiplantae; Streptophyta; Magnoliopsida; Solanales; Solanaceae
Description: long non-coding RNA (NBEN_LNC010462)
Source: RNAcentral